This 347-nucleotide unclassified non-coding RNA is filed under the name Bombus terrestris (buff-tailed bumblebee). RNAcentral's name for it is "misc RNA ENSBTSG00005029868.1". The record is from RNAcentral. Lineage: Eukaryota; Metazoa; Arthropoda; Insecta; Hymenoptera; Apidae.
CUUGCCUGCAAUGUUCAAACCAAAUUCCACAAAAAAUACGAAUAGAAGGAAAAGGUUGAAGAUCAAUGCCGUGCCCGAACCAUCAAAAUAUUUAUUAGAAAAUAAUGAAGAAAAAGAAAAUGUACAAAAAAGGCAGCUCGUGAUUAAAAAAGCAGAUGAUGAGAGAAGAAGAAGGUCAAAACGAAGACAAAUGACAUCAAUACCAUCACUAUCACUGCCAACAACAGCAAGUGAACGUGACGUAGUUUAUUGGUAUAGACGUUCUCUUUUCUUGGUGUCAAAAAUGACAUUGUGUAAAAAACACGUCUUUUACAACGAUGCAUAUUAUACGAUGCAUACAAACAUGA